GAACCUGCCUCAAAGAGGGGGACAACAGUUGGAAACGACUGCUAAUACCGCAUAAGCCCACGGCUCGGCAUCGAGCAGAGGGAAAAGGAGUGAUCCGCUUUGAGAUGGCCUCGCGUCCGAUUAGCUAGUUGGUGAGGUAAUGGCCCACCAAGGCGACGAUCGGUAGCCGGACUGAGAGGUUGAACGGCCACAUUGGGACUGAGACACGGCCCAGACUCCUACGGGAGGCAGCAGUGGGGAAUAUUGCACAAUGGGGGAAACCCUGAUGCAGCGACGCCGCGUGGAGGAAGAAGGUCUUCGGAUUGUAAACUCCUGUUGUUGAGGAAGAUAAUGACGGUACUCAACAAGGAAGUGACGGCUAACUACGUGCCAGCAGCCGCGGUAAAACGUAGGUCACAAGCGUUGUCCGGAAUUACUGGGUGUAAAGGGAGCGCAGGCGGGAGAACAAGUUGGAAGUGAAAUCCAUGGGCUCAACCCAUGAACUGCUUUCAAAACUGUUUUUCUUGAGUAGUGCAGAGGUAGGCGGAAUUCCCGGUGUAGCGGUGGAAUGCGUAGAUAUCGGGAGGAACACCAGUGGCGAAGGCGGCCUACUGGGCACCAACUGACGCUGAGGCUCGAAAGUGUGGGUAGCAAACAGGAUUAGAUACCCUGGUAGUCCACACCGUAAACGAUGAUUACUAGGUGUUGGAGGAUUGACCCCUUCAGUGCCGCAGUUAA
This 717-nucleotide ribosomal RNA is filed under the name uncultured bacterium. RNAcentral describes it as "bacterial SSU rRNA". It matches the Rfam family "Bacterial small subunit ribosomal RNA", at positions 122 to 855 of the family's 1533-position model. The record is from RNAcentral.